RNAcentral lists this ribosomal RNA (439 nucleotides) under uncultured bacterium. RNAcentral describes it as "partial 16S ribosomal RNA". It matches the Rfam family "Bacterial small subunit ribosomal RNA", at positions 338 to 795 of the family's 1533-position model. The record is from RNAcentral.
CCUACGGGUGGCAGCAGUGGGGGAUAUUACACAAUGGGGGGAACCCUGAUGCAGCGACGCCGCGUGGGUGAAGAAGCGCCUCGGCGCGUAAAGCCCUGCCAGCAGGGAAGAAAAUGACGGUACCUGAAGAAGAAGCCCCGGCUAACUACGUGCCAGCAGCCGCGGUAAUACGUAGGGGGCAAGCGUUAUCCGGAUUUACUGGGUGUAAGGGGGGGCAGACGGCGAUGGAAGCCAGGAGGGAAAGCCCGGGGCCCAACCCCGGGACUGCUCUUGGAACUGGGUGGCGGGAGUGCAGGAGGGGCAGGCGGAAUUCGUGGUGUAGCGGUGAAAUGCGUAGAUAGCAGGAGGAACACCGGUGGCGAAGGCGGCCUGCUGGACUGCAACUGACGUUGAGGCCCGAAAGCGUGGGGAGCAAACAGGAUUAGAUACCCUAGUAGUC